RNAcentral lists this transfer RNA (21 nucleotides) under Ilyodon furcidens (goldbreast splitfin). RNAcentral's name for it is "partial tRNA-Glu". Lineage: Eukaryota; Metazoa; Chordata; Actinopteri; Cyprinodontiformes; Goodeidae. The record is from RNAcentral.
UAAGGUUCUUAUAGUUGAAUA